RNAcentral lists this ribosomal RNA (450 nucleotides) under uncultured bacterium. RNAcentral describes it as "partial 16S ribosomal RNA". It matches the Rfam family "Bacterial small subunit ribosomal RNA", at positions 354 to 796 of the family's 1533-position model. The record is from RNAcentral.
GUGGGGAAUAUUGGACAAUGGGCGAAAGCCUGAUCCAGCCAUGCCGCGUGUGUGAAGAAGGUCUUCGGAUUGUAAAGCACUUUAAGUUGGGAGGAAGGGCAGUAAGUUAAUACCUUGCUGUUUUGACGUUACCAACAGAAUAAGCACCGGCUAACUUCGUGCCAGCAGCCGCGGUAAUACGAAGGGUGCAAGCGUUAAUCGGAAUUACUGGGCGUAAAGCGCGCGUAGGUGGUUUGGUAAGAUGGAUGUGAAAUCCCCGGGCUCAACCUGGGAACUGCAUCCAUAACUGCCUGACUAGAGUACGGUAGAGGGUGGUGGAAUUUCCUGUGUAGCGGUGAAAUGCGUAGAUAUAGGAAGGAACACCAGUGGCGAAGGCGACCACCUGGACUGAUACUGACACUGAGGUGCGAAAGCGUGGGGAGCAAACAGGAUUAGAUACCCUAGUAGUCC